AAAGUCUAAAGGUGAAUCUUGUCCAGUCUCUUGGAAUCAAUCUCCCACAUUCACUAAGGUGGAACUUACAAUUUACAAAAACUGUCAUCAGAACUUUAUCCAUAGUUUCCAUCAGAACAUCCCUCCAGAGAACAGUUAGAAGGACACCAUGACUCAGCAAUCUGACUGUCUGAUCCACACAAUGACACCAGGACUUUUCAUUCUGAUCCACUGACAUGUUCAUUGACACAGAUAUUUACUUUGGAGAGAUGAACUAAGGAUUUUCAGCCAGAGAGUCUUAAGCAGGUAAUCCAUGAUGUUUUGCUGUUUGUACGAAUUGUUUUGAGAAAUGCACUUAGUGUUUUGCAAAUGUCGAGGAUGAUUUGAGAAAUGUACCAAAGCGACUGAGAAAAACUGUAAAAUCUGCUAGGAACCAAAAGCCUGAGACGCUAAGCUUCCGCUCGGCUGUAUUUUGCAGUGACACACUUUCAAAAUGGCGUCCAGUGAACCACCGGUGUGUCAGAUUUUCUCUUUCCAGGACUCUAAAACUUCUCCAGACCCGAUCUUUGAGCUCCCCGCUCAGUGUCUGACCCAGACAGGGGUCCCCAUAGUGGUGGAUAACGGCUCCUUUCAGACCCGGGCCGGCUGGGCAUCUACCGGGGCCGGGUUCGAGUCCCCGCGGCUCCUCUUCAGGUCGGUGGCGGCCCGCAGCAGAGGAGCCGCCCGGAGCGAGACCCAGAUCGGGAACGACAUACCGAACCUGGAGCCGCUGCGGUGGCUGCUGAAGAGCCAGUUCGACCGGAACGUGGUGGUGAACCUGGAGAUCCAGGAGCUGAUCUUCGACUACGUGUUCACUCACCUGGGCAUCACCUCGGAGGGCAGCGUUGAACACCCCGUCGUGCUGACAGAAGCUCCCUGCAACCCGCUGCACUGCCGACAGAUGAUGUCCGAGCUGCUGUUUGAGUGCUACCGGGUCCCUUACGUCUCCUACGGUGUGGACAGCUUGUACAGUUUCUACCACAACCACUCUCAGAGGAGGCUCCAGCCGCCACACACCGGCAUCAUUCUGUCCUCAGGGUACCACAGCUCUCACAUCCUGCCGGUCGUCAACGGCAGGUUGGAUGCGGUGAACUGUAAGCGUGUGAACGUGGCUGGGAGCCAGGCGGCCUCCUACCUGCAGCGCCUCCUGCAGCUGAAAUACCCCGGUCACCUCGCUGCCAUCACCCUCAGCCGCAUGGAGGAGCUGCUGCAUGAGCACAGUUACACCGCUGUGGAUUAUCAUGAAGAGCUGGAAAAGUGGCGCAGCCCGGAGUUUUAUGAGCGUGAAGUUCACCGUAUUCAGCUUCCCUUUUCGAGUAAGGUUCCAGGUGGAUGUGUGAGUGUGGAGGAGAGGCAGGAGAGAAGAGCUCAGCAGCUUCGUAGACUUCAGGAGAUUAAUGCUCGUCGUCGAGAGGAGAAGCUGCAGCAGGACCAAGAGAGGCUGGACAGACUGAUGGCAGUACAGGAGCUGCUGGAGGACGGCCUGUUGGAUCAGUUCCACAAGAGCCUGGUGCACCUCAACAUGGACUCAGCAGAAGAACUGCAGUCCUACAUCAACAAGCUGCAGCUGGCUGUAGAGCAGGGCAGACAGAAACUGCUGCACAGCGACGGAGCAGAGGGGAGGACGGAGGUGUCUGAGCUGGAGCAGCCGAUGGACGAAGGAGAUGGAGUGGUGCUGAUGGAUUCUGACUUCCCUGAGGACACGCUGCCGGAAAAACCCACUAAUGUGGUUCAGCCCGUGUUCAACAUGGCCGAGUACCACCAGCUGUUUGUGGGGACGGAGCGUCUGCGGUGUCCAGAGAUCCUGUUUCAGCCAUCGCUCACUGGAGAGGACCAGAUGGGACUGAUGGAGACGCUGCAGUACGUCCUGGCCAGGUACACUCCGGAGCAGCAGGAGGCGCUGGUGAGCAACGUGUUUCUGACUGGGGGGAACAUGCAGUAUCCAGGGAUGAAGGAGAGAGUGGAGAGAGAACUUCUGGCCAUGAGGCCGUUCCAGUCACAGUUCAAGGUAACCAUGGCGACGCGGCCGGCGCUGGACUCCUGGUUCGGAGCCCGGGACUGGGCCCUGGAGCACCCGGCCGGAGGAUCAGAGGGCUGGAUCAGCCGGCAGGAGUACGAGGAGAAAGGAGGCGAGUAUCUGAGCGAACACUGCGCCUCCAACGGCUUCCUUCCCAUGAAGAUCGUUAAACCCGUCCUCGCCCGCCCUGCCGAGCCGCCCGUCACCUCACAGACGUCAGCCGGAGCUUCUCCUGCCGUCGCCACGGUUACAUCAACCCCCUCCUCCUCUGUCGCUGCUGACGUCACCAUGGUUACCUCCUAAGAGUUCCUGAAGUGUUUACCUUCAGUUCGACUCCCAGCAUGCAUUUCAAGGAGCUCAGGUAGGAUCAGAUGAGAGCAAUUCUCAUUUUCCACUAGGACCUGGCAAGAGGCCCCAGCAGGAAGAAAGACAACAAAUAAACAAUACAUACACAAAAAAAGGACGCACAAGUGUUUAAACAGACUGAAAACAGCCUAAAUUAAUGCAGCAGUUCAGUGAAAACAGUCAACAUGUCAGCGGUCAGCUAAGAUUUGCUGUAGCACCUGAUAAUCCUCCUGUUGUCCUCAUUAACAGGCACCAAUAAUGUUGCUUCCUUGUUUGAAAAAAAUCCAAAAAUUCAGCAAAAAAAAUUCCCCAAAUUUCUGAAAAUUUGCAAAACCUUCAGGAAGAAAAUUCCAAUAAUUCCUUCAAAGUUUCCGUUAAAAGUUUUAUUUUUAAAAAAAAGUCCCCCAAAUUUGGCAAGAAAAUUCUUGUAAAUAUUUUUCAAAAAAUGAGUAAAAAUCUUCAAAAGCUCCUAAAAAUAUCUAAAAUGAUUCCAUAUAUAUCAGUAAAACUUCUAAUAUUUAGGGUUAGGGUUAUCAACCCAAAUCAACCAAAAUCCAGCAAAUUUCGCUGGAUUUUGGUUGAUUUUAAUGUGAAUAUUCUUUAAGAAAUAUUUCUUUUACCAUUUUUUUCCACCAAAAAAUGUUCAGAAAUUUCCCAAAAGUGUUGAAAAUGUGGACAUCAGAAGUUUCACUGUGAAAAUAUUUUCUUUUUCUGCAUUUUCAAACUUUAAACUGGAUCAAUUUUGACCCGCACGACGACACAAGGUUUAAAUACAUUAAAUAUUUGUGGAGUUGCAGUUUCCUGUUGCACCACUGGGUGGCGUAGGUGAACAUAAAAUCCAAUUAUUCUGUCUUUAUUCUUACAUUGUUAUACUGCAUUCAAUUGACCUCUAAAUUAAAUAUUUGUUCUACAUUUUCUUUAAAGAGAGCUUUUUCUAUCAAACUGGAAAAAACACAUUUUUAUUAACGGUAGAAUUUUUAAUAGUUUAAUUUUUAUGUUUUAUGAAUGCCAGUUGAACAAAAAGUUGUCUUCAUGUUUACCCUGCUAACCUGUAAAGCCACCGUUGAAUUGGUUUAAUGUUCAUGUGAGAGCAGUUUAUUAAUCACAAUGAGUUUUAUUUUUUCCACAUCUGAUCUGAAGCUGUUGAAUCGGUGUGAGAAGCUGUCAGCUGUCCUUCAGGCUGAGCUCUGGUCCUCGUUCUGAACCCAGCAGACAUCUGCCCUCUAAUAGCAUUAUGUGGCGUUAAACUGGAGCUUCAAACCUUCUGCUUUCACUCAAACGACGGCGUGGCGACCAGACGCACUCACUGAGGGCUAAUCAGAGCCAACACAGGCCUCAGACUGCAGGCUGAUUGGCUCAAAUUUAACAAGAGGGAUUAAAAAGAAGAAAAAAAAAACACAACAAGGCGAUCUUUUAUGUGUAGAAGGGAGUAAGCAGGAUUUAUUACUAUGGCUACGCUGCAUUUCCACGAGGCUUUAGGGCAAGAAAACAACAGAUAAGGGGUGUUUUCUGCCUUCUUUUUUCAUAUUUAGCUUUCCAUUUGUGUGACUUUUGGUUUGUGUGACACCACAGACGAGCAGGGGUGUCCAACAUGAGGCCCGCGGGCCAAAAGCGGUCCUCCAGAGGGUUCAAUCCGGCCCUCAAAGUGUAAAAAUUCCAGAGAAGACAUUAACUGUAGAUUGUAAAUUAAUAAAACUAUAAAUUUAAGAUCAUUUCUAGACCAUGACAAGUUGUUUUGAUCAUAAAGUAAAAUCCUAUAUGGUUCAGUUCCAGUUGUCUUAAAAGAGGUUUUGGUCCCCGUCGGUCUUCUGUGGCCUGAUUUUUCUGACCUCUUGGCUCAAAUUCAGCAUCAAAUAACAGACGUGCUGCCAUUCUGUGCCCACAUUUAUCCACGUUCAUGUCUGCCUUCACCUCACCUGGACAUGUUUGGAAUCUGCUGCUGGGAACAAUGAACGUCAUCAUUAUGUGGGGUUUUGCUGCAGGUGCAGCAUGCAGAUGGUGUGUAUUUUUAAACAAGCCUGCUCUCUCUGUGUUGUGCCACAGGGUUGGCCGGUGUCCAAUUAGGAGGAUUUGUGUGAGCUGCAGCGCUGUAGGUCAGCAGGAACACCCAUAGACUGUAUGUAAAGUCUGUGGGAGCACCAGGCAGGGCUGAGCUGGUGUCACGCUGUCCAGUGGUGGAGGGGAAGGAAAAAUAAUGACCCGGAGCUGGAGGUGUGACACAUGAAGACUUAUUUUAUUUAUUUACUUUUUUUAAUGGCUGGAUCGUCUCAUUUUAUUUUAUUUUUCCUGUUUAAAACUUGUCACUGUCACAAAUUCUAAAUUCGGUACAGAGACGUCUUCAUGGCUGCAAAAAAAAAAAAAACACUGAACAAAAAAAACAGCCUGUUAGGAGGAGAUCCUGUUGGCAUAAUGUGUGAUUCUAUAAUAGUUUGUUGCAGACAACUUCACCAUUUCUGCCCCUGAAUCCUCCUAAAUUCUCUUUAGAGGGUGUGGAAGUGGAGCGUACACUCCAUUGCUAAGCAUUUAAAAAAUAAAUCUUACAGACAUAAACUAAA
RNA transcript from Amphiprion ocellaris (clown anemonefish), 4935 nucleotides. It is a transcript of the gene named actin related protein 5, with no coding region annotated. The transcript has 10 exons. The record is from RefSeq and is a predicted model, not a curated record. Lineage: Eukaryota; Metazoa; Chordata; Actinopteri; Pomacentridae.